UGGUUUUUUAGUUAUGGUUAAUACUGGACAAGUCUACACUUAAGAAUGGUAAGUUCUGAUAAUGGAUGAUGCCGUAGCUUAUUGCUUAUCUGGAUUGGUAUUAGUUGCCUUUCAGAACUGGGAUUUCCUUAGUAACCUAUUUUUCCAUCCCUUACCCUGUGAAGGUUGUAUGCUUUUGAUGUAAACGGCAACUCUUUCUUCCCCAUGUUUGCGCUGCUUUAUGGUUAGUACAAAGUCAAAAUGCAUUCCUUAUUGAAUAAGCUUUUUCAUAAUACACACUGAACUUCUAUUCACAUUGUUUUUCUUAGAGACAGCUGUACAUUAUUUUCCGUCGCCUCUUCUGGUAAGCUCAUGGUUUUGUUCCUGUUUUGCUGUCAAAUUUGCAUUUCCUACUAUCAUUACCUCAAUUUUCUAGGCUAUGAUGGUAAUACGAGUUUUACUGGAAAUAGUGUCUUUUUUUCUUAUUCAAAGCCAUUCUAAGGAAUUUUACAUAGAAAAUUGAGAAACAUAUGAAAGUGGCUUGUGUUUAAAAGAAAACUCUUAUUGUCAAAAUUUACUGAUUUUCUCGUCCGCUAUGCAGUAUUGCCACUAUUGGAGAGAACAACAUUUUUUCUGUAUCCAAUUUGUUUUGUCAUUGUCAUAUCUCCUAUCUGUAAGUAUUUACUAUACCUGUUUGUUAUGCAACAUUUAUUGCCAUAUAGAUGAAUAUUUAUAUCUUACAGUGAUUUUGAGCAGCUGCAACCCAUCAAGAUACCUUAUGAACAUGUACUUCAGUCGAUUGCUAUAGAUGCUGCUAACAGGCACUUUAGAUGACGUAUAUGAUGAUCGAAGGAAAUUCCUCAAAAUACUCUAAAGAACACAAGACAGUUAAUGUAUUCAUUUACGCGUGAGGAAGACGACCGGCGUGACCCAGGAAAGAUUCAGUCAGUCCAGUGGGGCCUUUCUUUAUUUGACCGAAAAUGAGUUAGUUUUGCCGUACUGAGAAAUUAGAUUAGUGAAAUCGUUACAUAUGGGUUUUGCGUCUUAUUUCCGUCAUCUGCUUGAGACAAUUAUUUGUGACACCUUAUGAUGGGAAGUAGUGAAUUCCCUUGCAAUGCUGCUGUUUUAAGCAAUGUUGAUAAUAUAGGAUACUUGUCAAACAACAGAAAUUUCUCUUUUGUUCCCCAAAAUUUUUUCUUUUGUGAAUUUUCAUUUUUACCGUAUUUCAUUAGGAAUUAUGUUUUGACAGAUCAAUCCUGCGUAUGGUACAGUAUGGUUUCACUUUGCUAGAACUCCGAAUCAUUCCCUAAGCUUAAAUAGAUUUUCCUUAGUUCCAGACAAGAACAUUAAAAAAAUUGGAUGAAAUUUGAAGAAGAGAGAGCCGAGGUGGUCCCUUAGACUGAUAAAUUGAAUUCCAAAAUUUAGCGAUUUUAAAUGUGUAGAUAUCAACUCUAGCUUAUUAUUUUUAUCAAAUGCUCCGAACGUGUAUACCUAAGAUCUCUGCAUCACUGAACAGGCAAUUCCCAGAAUCUUCAUGGCUGGAAAUGCCAGAAAACUACAUCCAUUUUGAGGUUCACCUCUACUUGCUCUUUUGAUCAAGAAUGGCAACCCGUCAAUAUUUUAUUGACGGAUAAUGGACAUUCCAGUGGUA
This 1630-nucleotide long non-coding RNA is filed under the name Olea europaea subsp. europaea. The record is from RNAcentral. Lineage: Eukaryota; Viridiplantae; Streptophyta; Magnoliopsida; Lamiales; Oleaceae.